This is a long non-coding RNA of Pseudophryne corroboree (corroboree frog), 705 nucleotides long. RefSeq lists it as uncharacterized. The record is from RefSeq and is a predicted model, not a curated record. NCBI's taxonomy places the organism in Eukaryota, Metazoa, Chordata, Amphibia, Anura, Myobatrachidae. The transcript has 3 exons.
CCCCCACCAGUGACAAUGGAGUUCAUGAGAUGGUUAUGUGAUGUCAUCCCUCUGUUUACGCCAUCAUCUCACCAGGAUAGUCCGCAACAGUGACAUGUGGGAUAUAUUGAUUGGAAAAGAGAAAACACAAACAGCGGCUGCAGUGCAGGGACACGUCUACCUUCCAAUGGCUUGGUUUGAUUGACACCUAUUUCCAUAGAAAAGGCAAGUAAAAGAAGACAUGAUCCAUCAGACUGAAAUCUUAUGCAACACAGAGAUCUCCUGACCUUCAGUUCAUUACAUCCUGAUCUCUGUGUGAUGCCAAAUUGCCAUUGGGCGAAUCUCCCACAAGAUGUUGGUGCUGUUCCUGAACAGUAAUUGAGACUCUGACUCACUCUGUUUAAUUUGAUGUACAGAAGCAGUGCCUGUCAGCCUGGCUCUGACCUUUCAAGAUGUCCUUGUUUUCUAACCUGCUACAAGAUGUUUAAUAAGGUGUCUGUCUUAAUCCUUUGUCACAGAACCUGUCCAGGUCUAAAGAAUUCAGUGUCAUUUUAACUGAGAAACAAGGAAUUCCAAGUUAAAGAAACGUGUCUAAUAGUCUGUUUCCAUUAAACACCCACAUUAUAAUGAUAGACAGACAGACCCAAAGUUAGAUAUGGAUGGGCAUUCACCUCCAACUGGAAGUUUAUGUACACCUUUUUAACUAACGCUUUCCUGCAAAUGAAC